UACGAACAUAUCACGUUGAAACACCGGUUCUCCGAAGUUAAGCAACGUCGAGCCUUGUCAGUACCUAGAUGGGUGUCCUCUUGGGAAUACCAGGGUCUGUAA
Acanthosepion pharaonis is the source of this 102-nucleotide non-coding RNA. The record is from the annotation of a GenBank genome assembly. NCBI's taxonomy places the organism in Eukaryota, Metazoa, Mollusca, Cephalopoda, Sepiida, Sepiidae.